UGGAGAGAUGACUUCCCUAGCCCCUGGGCAAAAAUAAUACAUGGGAAACUUGUGUCCCUAGGACUAUCUCCAUCUGAACUAUUAAAAUUGGAUUUAAUUUCUGCCAAGAGAAUUAUAACUCACAAAUUAGAGGAGAUGGAUUUACAAUUUAAUAUUGCGACAGGUGGUGGCACCUGUUCGCCGAUAAACCUUGGCUUAACACCACCAACGAAACUUCCAUCUUAUUUAACUACCUUAUCUGUGGUGACGCACAGGUAUGCCUUUAUAAAGGCUAGAUUCAAUGUUUUCCCAUCAAACGUGUUGGGUAACAGACUCUCCAACGGACAGAUCUCACUCCUCUGUGACUGUAAAAGUGGAUCUAUAGAAUCGUUAUAUCAUAUAAUCUUCUGUUGUCCAUUACAUUCGGCUUCACGGUCCAAGUUUCUGGCCCCAUACUUAUCGAGAAUUGCUGACGGACCUCAGGAAGCCCAAAUAAUAUACUUAUUAAACGACGAAGAUACAAGUAGAUCCCUUGCAGUCGCUAGAUACCUGAUUAAUGUUUUAUUUCAAAAGAGGAGAAAUGGAUCACUGUAUGACUCUGACAGCUUAGCUAAACUUAAGAACCAUCAAUAAGUGCCAGAACUAAGACGCAUACCCCCCAAAAUCUGAUGAAUUUGAAUUGCGGUAAAGGUAAAGGUAAAGGUAGCCCUGCCCGUACGGGCCAGUCUUGACAGACUCUGGGGUUGUGCGCCCAUCUCACUCAAGAGGCCGGGGGCCAGCGCUGUCCGCAGACACUUCCGGGUCACGUGGCCAGCGUGACAAGCUGCAUCUGGCGAGCCAGCACAGCACACGGAACGCCGUUUACCUUCCCGCUGGUAAGCGGUCCCUAUUUAUCUACUUGCACCCGGGGGUGCUUUCGAACUGCUAGGUUGGCAGGCGCUGGGACCGAGCAACGGGAGCGCACCCCGCCGCGGGGAUUCGAACCGCCGACCUUUCGAUCGGCAAGCCCUAGGCGCUGAGGCUUUUACCCACAGCGCCACCCGCGUCCCU
Molecule: long non-coding RNA, 1029 nt
Organism: Podarcis raffonei (Aeolian wall lizard)
Lineage: Eukaryota; Metazoa; Chordata; Lepidosauria; Squamata; Lacertidae
Exons: 2
Source: RefSeq, a predicted model, not a curated record